UACGUAGGGUCCGAGCGUUGUCCGGAAUUACUGGGCGUAAAGCGCGCGCAGGCGGUCCUUUAGUCGGGGGAUGGAAGACCCAGAGCUCAACUCUGGAACUGCCUUCGAAACUAGAGGACUUGGGUACGGGAGAGGUGAGUGGAAUUCCGAGUGUAGAGGUGAAAUUCGUAGAUAUUCGGAAGAACACCAGUGGCGAAGGCGGCUCACUGGCCCGUUACCGACGCUCAGGCGCGACAGCGUGGGGAGCAAACAGG
RNAcentral lists this ribosomal RNA (254 nucleotides) under uncultured bacterium. RNAcentral's name for it is "partial 16S ribosomal RNA". It matches the Rfam family "Bacterial small subunit ribosomal RNA", at positions 524 to 776 of the family's 1533-position model. The record is from RNAcentral.